RNAcentral lists this ribosomal RNA (120 nucleotides) under Pteropus alecto (black flying fox). Lineage: Eukaryota; Metazoa; Chordata; Mammalia; Chiroptera; Pteropodidae. The record is from RNAcentral.
GUCUACUGCCAUGCCACCUUGAAUGUGCCCAAUCUCGGCUGAUCUCGGAAGCUAAGCAGGGUCAGGCUUGGUUAGUACUUGGAUGGGAGACCACCUUGGAAUACCAGGUGCUUGUAGGCA